CUUUCUUCUAAUACAAUGUGAUCUGACGUGAUCUGCAUCCCCUCCAUGCUGCUGCCGAGAUGGAAGAAUGUGGUGACGCCACUGGUGCCUGGGCCUCUGGUCUCUCCCAUCUGUGGUGGAUGGAUCUGGGUUCAGUUUUGUGGUCCCCACUCUGCUUCAGUCAUCAGGCUUUCUUCAGAUCUUGAGAAGAGACCCCAGCCUGAGUGAAGCCCAAGUUCCUGCCCAAUCUGGCUUCUUACUCGCCAUCUGGCCCCCCAUGAUGGGCUAGAGAGGUGAAGACAGGACAACGAGCUUGAAGUAAAUGGCUUCAGCCUUCCAGGUUUCUAGGCUAAUUUAUAAGAAGAG
RNAcentral lists this long non-coding RNA (345 nucleotides) under Fukomys damarensis (Damara mole-rat). RNAcentral describes it as "lncRNA (ENSFDAG00000022070.1)". The record is from RNAcentral. Lineage: Eukaryota; Metazoa; Chordata; Mammalia; Rodentia; Bathyergidae.